UACGUAGGAUGCUAGCGUUGUCCGGAUUUACUGGGCGUAAAGCGCGCGCAGGCGGCACCUCAAGUACUCUCUGAAAUCCACCUGCUCAACGGGUGGGGUGGAGAGUAGACUGAGGAGCUAGAGAGAGGUAGAGGGGGGUAGAAUUGCUGGUGUAGCGGUGAAAUGCGUAGAGAUCAGCAGGAAUACCCGUGGCGAAGGCGGCCCCCUGGGCCUCUUCUGACGCCGAGGCGCGAAGGCUGGGGGAGCGAACGGG
Molecule: ribosomal RNA, 253 nt
Filed under: uncultured bacterium
Lineage: Bacteria
Description: partial 16S ribosomal RNA
Rfam family: Bacterial small subunit ribosomal RNA
Source: RNAcentral